CACACACACAUGAUGGCUCAGUCAUAGUCUGCCAUGGCACCGUAUACAAGUAGGUACACACACAUGAUGUCAUAGUCUGCCAUGACACCGUAUACAAGUAGGUACACACACAUGAUGUCAUAGUCUGCCAUGACACCGUAUACAAGUAGGUACACACACACACACACAUGAUGGCUCAGUCAUAGUCUGCCAUGACACCGUAUACAAGUAGGUACACACACAUGAUGUCAUAGUCUGCCAUGACACCGUAUACAAGUAGGUACACACACACACAUGAUGGCUCAGUCAUAGUCUGCCAUGGCACCGUAUACAAGUAGGUACACACACACACACACACAUGAUGGCUCAGUCAUAGUCUGCCAUGACACCGUAUACAAGUAGGUACACACACA
Non-coding RNA from Nerophis lumbriciformis (worm pipefish), 392 nucleotides. NCBI's taxonomy places the organism in Eukaryota, Metazoa, Chordata, Actinopteri, Syngnathiformes, Syngnathidae. The record is from RefSeq and is a predicted model, not a curated record.